Molecule: ribosomal RNA, 405 nt
Filed under: uncultured bacterium
Lineage: Bacteria
Description: partial 16S ribosomal RNA
Rfam family: Bacterial small subunit ribosomal RNA
Source: RNAcentral
AUUGAACGCUGGCGGCAGGCCUAACACAUGCAAGUCGAACGAGUGGCGGACGGGUGAGUAAUGUCUGGGAAACUGCCCGAUGGAGGGGGAUAACUACUGGAAACGGUAGCUAAUACCGCAUACCAUCGGAUGUGCCCAGAUGGGAUUAGCUAGUAGGUGGGGUAACGGCUCACCUAGGCGACGAUCCCUAGCUGGUCUGAGAGGAUGACCGGCCAAGCGGAAACGGGGAGACGGUCAAGACUCCUAGGGGGGGAAGAAGUGGGGAUUGUUGCACAAGGGGAGAAAGCCUGAUGCAGACAUGCCGCGUGUAUGAAGAGGGCCUUGGGGUUGAAAAGUACUUUCAGCGAGGAGGCGUUACUCGCAGAAGAGGCACCGGCUAACUCCGUGCCAGCAGCGGCGGAAAAC